UUGGAGGGCAAGUCUGGUGCCAGCAGCCGCGGUAAUUCCAGCUCCAAUAGCGUAUAUUAAAGUUGUUGCAGUUAAAAAGCUCGUAGUUGAAUUUCGGAGUUUGUCGGUCGGUCGGGCUUCACUGUCCGCACUGGCCUGACGGAUUCCUACCUUCUGAAUAACCAGCAUACUAUUAAGUUAGUGCGUUGGGGAAGCAGAGCUAUUACCUUGAAAAAAUUAGAGUGCUUAAAGCAGGCUUAUGCUUGAAUAGAUUAGCAUGGAAUAAUAAAAUAGGACGGCAUGGUUCUAUUUUGUUGGUUUCUAGGAUCACCGUAAUGAUUAAUAGGGAUAGUUGGGGGCAUUAGUAUUCAAUUGUCAGAGGUGAAAUUCUUGGAUUUAUUGAAGACUAACUUCUGCGAAAGCAUUUGCCAAGGAUGUUUUCAUUAAUCAAGAGCGAAAGUUAGGGGAUCGAAGACGAUCGGAUACCGUCGUAGUCUUAACCAUAAACUAUGCCGACUAGGGAUCGGACGAUGUUAAUUUUUUAAUGACUCGUUCGGCGCCUUACGGGAAAC
This 551-nucleotide ribosomal RNA is filed under the name uncultured Acaulosporaceae. RNAcentral describes it as "SSU rRNA". It matches the Rfam family "Eukaryotic small subunit ribosomal RNA", at positions 548 to 1098 of the family's 1831-position model. The record is from RNAcentral. Lineage: Eukaryota; Fungi; Glomeromycota; Glomeromycetes; Diversisporales; Acaulosporaceae.